Molecule: long non-coding RNA, 887 nt
Organism: Dermacentor andersoni
Lineage: Eukaryota; Metazoa; Arthropoda; Arachnida; Ixodida; Ixodidae
Source: RefSeq, a predicted model, not a curated record
UAGAGCCCGUUAUAUAAUAAACCACAGUUGUGGCUUCCAUUGGCACAUCGGCAGGUCUCUCAGUGGGUCACGGGGGUAUUCGUUGAUAAGAGCUCUUUUGCAGCUGCCUCAGUAGUACAGCACGUAAAGGGUAACAUCUAUGACGGCCACGACAACGACAAACGUCUCUGGCGGUCACGCACGGCUAACACGAAGGUUCGUAAUACUUAGCGUGGACACUUUAUCACGAGGUUUACGAGGUACGAAUGGCGGAUCAAUGUCUCUUCACAUCUUAUCUAGAUGUAACGAAGGCGGUGGUAGUCUUGGACUGUGAUUGUGCGCGAUUUGCUUUUACAUAAGAAGAGGUGGCUGCUCGAACUGAAAAGUAGAAAAAGCGAAGUUUUUCUGCGUCUGUUAAUGUGCGCUCGUGGAUUAAAACAAUGGUUUCAGGAUGAUGGCUAUGAAAUUCCGUGGGGAGAUGGGUACAGUUCACAGGUGGCGAUAGGGGCUAACACACUGGCAAGCGUCCCAGCAGGUACUGCAGUGUUUUACCUCAAACAUAACGUUAUUUUCCCUUGCUUCGGGGAUAAUAAUAUCCACAUCAGUAUAAACUAAAGCGUACAUUAAAGCAGCCUUUUUUUUUUACUCCUUCCAGGUUCUCGACCGAUUCCAAGUUGGUUUUGUAGCCGCGCUUGUACCUGGGAAAAAAAGAUUCCGCACUUGUGCAAGCGCUGUUUUCUGACACGUGAAUCGGUGCGGCAUUCCACAAGACUAGGAAGAUCGUGUCUCGACAGGCUCCUUUUCCUCUGGUCUUCUUCGCUGCAGUGGGCAUGGCGAGCGGUUCCAAGAAAAUAAACUUGACUGGCAGUUUAUAUAUAACCUAAAAGAAAAAAGGAAAAUGAUGUGAA